CUUUUGAAUAUAAUUUAAGGUCUGACCUGCCCACUGAGGAGUUAAAUGGCCGCGGUAUUUUGACCGUGCAAAGGUAGCAUAAUCAUUAGUUUUUUAAUUGAAAGCUGGUAUGAAAGGUUGGAUGAGAAAAUUACUGUCUCUAUCUUAAUUAAAUAGAAUUUUAUUUUUAAGUAAAAAAGCUUAAAUGUAUAUAGAAGACGAGAAGACCCUAUAGAGUUUUAUACAUUGGUAUAAUAAGCUUUUUAGAAUUUUAUAUUUUGUUGUAUUUAUGUAUUUGGUUGGGGUGAUUGAAAAAUUGAAUAAACUUUUUUUUUAUAAGAACAUUAAUUUAUGAAUAAUUGAUCCUAAAAUUUAGAUUAUAAGGAAAAAUUACCUUAGGGAUAACAGCGUAAUUUUUUUUGAGAGUUCUAAUCGAGAAAAAAGUUUGCGACCUCGAUGUUGGAUUAAAAUUAAUUUUUGGUGUAGAAGCUAAA
This 473-nucleotide ribosomal RNA is filed under the name Tychius parallelus. Its description in RNAcentral is "partial 16S ribosomal RNA". It matches the Rfam family "Archaeal large subunit ribosomal RNA", at positions 1918 to 2635 of the family's 2987-position model. The record is from RNAcentral. Lineage: Eukaryota; Metazoa; Arthropoda; Insecta; Coleoptera; Curculionidae.